RNAcentral lists this ribosomal RNA (427 nucleotides) under uncultured bacterium. Its description in RNAcentral is "bacterial SSU rRNA". It matches the Rfam family "Bacterial small subunit ribosomal RNA", at positions 355 to 774 of the family's 1533-position model. The record is from RNAcentral.
UGGGGAAUUUUGGACAAUGGGCGCAAGCCUGAUCCAGCAAUGCCGCGUGCAGGAUGAAGGCCUUCGGGUUGUAAACUGCUUUUGUACGGAGCGAAAAGGUCUGCCCUAAUACGGUGGGCUCAUGACGGUACCGUAAGAAUAAGCACCGGCUAACUACGUGCCAGCAGCCGCGGUAAUACGUAGAGUGCGAGCGUUAAUCGGAAUUACUGGGCGUAAAGCGUGCGCAGGCGGUUAUAUAAGACAGAUGUGAAAUCCCCGGGCUCGACCUGGGAACUGCAUUUGAAACUGGCAGGCUUGAGUCUUGUAGAGGGGGAUGGAAUUCCGCGUGUAGCAGUGAAAUGCGUAGAUAUGCGGAGGAACACCGAUGGCGAAGGCAAUCCCCUGGACCUGUACUGACGCUCAUGCACGAAAGCGUGGGGAGCAAACA